Molecule: ribosomal RNA, 430 nt
Filed under: Pseudomonadota bacterium
Lineage: Bacteria; Pseudomonadati; Pseudomonadota
Description: Proteobacteria bacterium partial 16S ribosomal RNA
Rfam family: Bacterial small subunit ribosomal RNA
Source: RNAcentral
UGGGGAAUAUUGGACAAUGGGGGGAACCCUGAUCCAGCCAUGCCGCGUGUGUGAAGAAGGCCUUAUGGUUGUAAAGCACUUUAAGCGAGGAGGAGGGUACUGGUAUUAAUACUACCAGCUACUGGACGUUACUCGCAGAAUAAGCACCGGCUAACUCUGUGCCAGCAGCCGCGGUAAUACAGAGGGUGCGAGCGUUAAUCGGAAUUACUGGGCGUAAAGCGCGCGUAGGUGGUUCGUUAAGUUGACUGUGAAAGCCCCGGGCUCAACCUGGGAACUGCAUCCAAAACUGGCGAGCUAGAGUAGGGCAGAGGGUGGUGGAAUUUCCUGUGUAGCGGUGAAAUGCGUAGAUAUAGGAAGGAACACCAGUGGCGAAGGCGACCACCUGGGCUCAUACUGACACUGAGGUGCGAAAGCGUGGGGAGCAAACAGG